AACGCUAGCUACAGGCUUAACACAUGCAAGUCGAGGGGAAACGACAUCGAAAGCUUGCUUUUGAUGGGCGUCGACCGGCGCACGGGUGAGUAACGCGUAUCCAACCUGCCCACCACUUGGGGAUAACCUUGCGAAAGUAAGACUAAUACCCAAUGAUAUCUCUAGAAGACAUCUGAAAGAGAUUAAAGAUUUAUCGGUGAUGGAUGGGGAUGCGUCUGAUUAGCUUGUUGGCGGGGUAACGGCCCACCAAGGCAACGAUCAGUAGGGGUUCUGAGAGGAAGGUCCCCCACAUUGGAACUGAGACACGGUCCAAACUCCUACGGGAGGCAGCAGUGAGGAAUAUUGGUCAAUGGACGAGAGUCUGAACCAGCCAAGUAGCGUGCAGGAAGACGGCCCUAUGGGUUGUAAACUGCUUUUAUAAGGGAAUAAAGUGGGUCACGUGUGACUUUUUGCAUGUACCUUAUGAAUAAGGACCGGCUAAUUCCGUGCCAGCAGCCGCGGUAAUACGGAAGGUCCGGGCGUUAUCCGGAUUUAUUGGGUUUAAAGGGAGCGUAGGCCGGAGAUUAAGCGUGUUGUGAAAUGUAGACGCUCAACGUCUGCACUGCAGCGCGAACUGGUUUCCUUGAGUACGCACAAAGUGGGCGGAAUUCGUGGUGUAGCGGUGAAAUGCUUAGAUAUCACGAAGAACUCCGAUUG
This 696-nucleotide ribosomal RNA is filed under the name uncultured bacterium. RNAcentral describes it as "bacterial SSU rRNA". It matches the Rfam family "Bacterial small subunit ribosomal RNA", at positions 32 to 715 of the family's 1533-position model. The record is from RNAcentral.